This 70-nucleotide transfer RNA is filed under the name Ancylodactylus dickersonae. RNAcentral describes it as "tRNA-Ala". It matches the Rfam family "tRNA". From Rfam's summary of the family: Transfer RNA (tRNA) molecules are approximately 80 nucleotides in length. The record is from RNAcentral. Lineage: Eukaryota; Metazoa; Chordata; Lepidosauria; Squamata; Gekkonidae.
GGGAGGUCUUAGCUUAAUUAAAGUGUCUGAGUUGCAAUCAGGUGAUGUAUUUUAAAGUUUUACAGGCCUU